GACGAACGCUGGCGGCGUGCCUAAUACAUGCAAGUCGAGCGAAGUUUUUCUGGUGCUUGCACUAGAAAAACUUAGCGGCGAACGGGUGAGUAACACGUAAAGAACCUGCCUCAUAGACUGGGACAACUAUUGGAAACGAUAGCUAAUACCGGAUAACAGUAUUUCUCGCAUGAGAGAUAUUUAAAAGUUGGUUAUGCUAACACUAUGAGAUGGCUUUGCGGUGCAUUAGCUAGUUGGUGGGGUAAAGGCCUACCAAGGCGACGAUGCAUAGCCGACCUGAGAGGGUGAUCGGCCACACUGGGACUGAGACACGGCCCAGACUCCUAUGGGAGGCAGCAGUAGGGAAUCUUCCGCAAUGGGCGAAAGCCUGACGGAGCAACGCCGCGUGAGUGAAGAAAGGAUUUCGGUUCGUAAAAGCUCUGUUGUUAAGGGAAAGAAAUGGAUAAUGUAGG
Molecule: ribosomal RNA, 452 nt
Filed under: Gemella morbillorum
Lineage: Bacteria; Bacillati; Bacillota; Bacilli; Caryophanales; Gemellaceae
Description: bacterial SSU rRNA
Rfam family: Bacterial small subunit ribosomal RNA
Source: RNAcentral